UCAAGCUACUAAGGGCAUACGGUGGAUGCCUAGGCGCCAAGAGCCGAAGAAGGACGCGGUAAGCUGCGAAAAGCCACGGGGAACUGCAAGCAAGUAUUGAUCCGUGGAUAUCCGAAUGGGGAAACCCGGCCAUCGUCAUGGAUGGUCACCCGCAAGGGAGGGAACCUGGGGAACUGAAACAUCUAAGUACCCGGAGGAAGAGAAAUCAAACGAGAUGCCCACAGUAGCGGCGAGCGAAGAGGGCAGAGCCCAAACCGAGAAGCUCCGGCUUUUCGGGGUUGAGGACCGGCAGAAUCGAAGUCAGGCCUAGUUGAAUUACCUGGAAAGGUAAGCGAGAGAGGGUAAAAGCCCCGUAGACGAAAGGCAGAGCAGAGAGGCCGAGAUCCAGAGUACCACGAAGCACGAGGAAUUUUGUGGGAAGCAGGGGGGACCACCCUCCAAGGCUAAAAACUACUUGGCGACCGAUAGCGCAUAGUACCGUGAGGGAAAGGUGAAAAAGACCCCGGGAGGGGAGUGAAAUAGUACCUGAAACCGUAUGUCUACAAGCAGUCGAAGCGAAAGCGACGGCGUGCCUAUUGAAGAAUGAACCAACGAGUUAUCUGCACUAGCGAGGUUAAGUGGAAGACACGGAGCCGCAGCGAAAGCGAGUCUUAAGAGGGCGCUAGUUAGUGUAGGUAGACCCGAAACCGCAGUGAUCUACCCAUGUCCAGGUUGAAGCGCAGGUAAAAUUGCGUGGAGGACCGAACCGGUGAGCGUUGAAAAGCUUUCGGAUGAGAUGUGGGUAGGGGUGAAAUUCCAAUCGAACGCGGAGAUAGCUGGUUCUCCCCGAAAUAGCUUUAGGGCUAGCCUGAGGUAGUAAGUAUAGGCGGUAGAGCACUGAUCGGGCUAGGGGCCGUAAAGGUUACCGAACCCUGUCAAACUCCGAAUGGAUAUACUGUAGAGCCUUGGAGUCAGACUACGAGUGAUAAGAUCCGUGGUCAAAAGGGAAACAGCCCAGACCACCAGCUAAGGUCCCCAAUGUCGUACUAAGUGGAAAAGGAUGUGGGGUUUCAUAAACAACCAGGAUGUUGGCUCAGAAGCAGCCACCAUUUAAAGAGUGCGUAAUAGCUCACUGGUCGAGAGACCCUGCGCCGAAGAUUCCCGGGGCUAAAGUACGAAACCGAAGCUGUGGCUGUAUACGUAAAGUAUACGGGGUAGGGGAGCGUUCCCAUAGGGUAGAAGUCGAACUGGAAGGUUCGGUGGACUUGUGGGAAGUGAGAAUGUUGGUAUGAGUAGCGAAAAGAAAGGUGAGAAUCCUUUCCACCGAAAGCAUAAGGAUUCCUGAGCAACGAUCGUCGCCUCAGGGUAAGUCGGGACCUAAUCCGAGGCAGAGAGCGUAGGAGAUGGACAACUGGUUGAUAUUCCAGUACCGGUAGUAAUUGUUUGAGCAAUGGAGUGACACAGAAGGGCAGGCAAGCAUGCGAAUGGAAGAGCAUGUGUAAGCGUGUAGGGUGGUGCAUAGGCAAAUCCGUGCACUGAAAGCCUGAGGCGUGAUGCGGAGUGAGCAGAGAUGCGAGCGAAGUUGUUGACCCCACACUGUCGAGAAAAGCUUCUAGUGAGAGAGCUACCGCCCGUACCGUAAACCGACACAGGUAUGCGGGGAGAGAAUCCUAAGGUGCGCGGGAGAACCCUCGUUAAGGAACUCGGCAAAAUGUACCCGUAACUUCGGGAUAAGGGUAGCCACUGUUGUGAAGUCCCAUGCGGAUGGAGCAUAGAGUGGUCGCAGAGAAGAGGCCCAAGCGACUGUUUACCAUAAACACAGGUGCCUGCUAAAGCGAAAGCUGACGUAUAGGUGCUGACACCUGCCCAGUGCCGGAAGGUUAAGGAAGGAUGUUCGGAGUAAUCCAAAGCAUUCGACUGAAGCCCCGGUGAACGGCGGCCGUAACUAUAACGGUCCUAAGGUAGCGAAAUUCCUUGUCGGGUAAGUUCCGACCCGCACGAAAGGUGUAACGAUUUGGGCACUGUCUCAACGAGGGACCCGGUGAAAUUGAAAUACCUGUGAAGAUGCAGGUUACCCGCGACUGGACAGAAAGACCCCAUGGAGCUUUACUGUAACCUGACAUUGGGUUUUGAUACAUUACGUACAGGAUAGGUGGGAGGCAUGGAAAGCUGGACGCUAGUCUGGCUGGAGCCGACGUUGGGAUACCACCCUUGAUGUAUUGAAAUUCUAACCGCGAGAGUAACGAAAUCCGGGACAGUGUCAGGCGGGCAGUUUGACUGGGGCGGUCGCCUC
RNAcentral lists this ribosomal RNA (2272 nucleotides) under human gut metagenome. Its description in RNAcentral is "bacterial LSU rRNA". It matches the Rfam family "Bacterial large subunit ribosomal RNA", at positions 3 to 2289 of the family's 2925-position model. The record is from RNAcentral.